AUGGAUCCAAAGCUGGUGGAGGUCAUGCAGCUGUUCGCCCGCUUCAAGGCGGCCUACCUCCGCAGCGAUCUCGACGUCUGCUCCAACUUCCUCUCGCAGCUCAAGGCCCUCCUCACCAAGUUCCCCAGCCUACCUCCGUUGUUUCAGCAGACGCCCAAUGCCGUGGAGGAGCUCAAACUUGCGAGGGACAUUUAUGAGCAUGCAGUUCUUCUCAGUGUGAAAACAGAAGAUCAAGAUGCAUUUGAAAGGGACUUCUGCCACCUCAAGCCUUAUUACAUGGACACAUGUGGCAUAAUUCCUCCAUCACCGGUUGAGUACCCAAUUAUGGGGCUUAACCUUCUGAGGCUGUUGGUCCAGAAUAGAAUUGCGGAGUUCCACACUGAGCUGGAGCCUCUGCCCACCAAAGCGCUGGAGAAUCCUUGCAUCAAGCACGCGGUUGAGCUCGAGCAGUCUCUUAUGGAGGGCGCUUACAACCGCGUGCUGAGUGCUUGA
RNAcentral lists this ribosomal RNA (492 nucleotides) under Triticum aestivum (bread wheat). RNAcentral's name for it is "partial small subunit ribosomal RNA". The record is from RNAcentral. Lineage: Eukaryota; Viridiplantae; Streptophyta; Magnoliopsida; Poales; Poaceae.